This 138-nucleotide ribosomal RNA is filed under the name uncultured eukaryote. RNAcentral describes it as "partial 18S ribosomal RNA". It matches the Rfam family "Eukaryotic small subunit ribosomal RNA", at positions 1299 to 1458 of the family's 1831-position model. The record is from RNAcentral.
UGGUGGAGUGAUUUGUCUGGUUAAUUCCGAUAACGAACGAGACUGUAGCCUACUAAAUAGGCGGCGGAUAUUUAAUAGUCCGCAAUGUCUUCUUAGAGGGACAAGGCAGCUUCAAGCUGCAUGAAAACGGCAAUAACA